CCUACGGGGGGCUGCAGUGGGGAAUAUUGGACAAUGGGGGGAACCCUGAUCCAGCCAUGCCGCGUGUGUGAAGAAGGCCCUCGGGUUGUAAAGCACUUUCAGUGAGGAAGAACGCCUGUUGGUUAAUACCCAUCAGGAAAGACAUCACUCACAGAAGAAGCACCGGCUAACUCCGUGCCAGCAGCCGCGGUAAUACGGAGGGUGCGAGCGUUAAUCGGAAUUACUGGGCGUAAAGCGCGCGUAGGUGGCUUGAUAAGCCGGUUGUGAAAGCCCCGGGCUCAACCUGGGAACGGCAUCCGGAACUGUCAAGCUAGAGUGCAGGAGAGGAAGGUAGAAUUCACGGUGUAGCGGUGAAAUGCGUAGAGAUCGGGAGGAAUACCAGUGGCGAAGGCGGCCUUCUGGACUGACACUGACACUGAGGUGCGAAAGCGUGGGUAGCAAACAGGAUUAGAUACCCUAGUAGUC
This 465-nucleotide ribosomal RNA is filed under the name Vreelandella stevensii. Its description in RNAcentral is "partial 16S ribosomal RNA". It matches the Rfam family "Bacterial small subunit ribosomal RNA", at positions 338 to 795 of the family's 1533-position model. The record is from RNAcentral. Lineage: Bacteria; Pseudomonadati; Pseudomonadota; Gammaproteobacteria; Oceanospirillales; Halomonadaceae.